GGCUCGAGGACGAACGCUGGCGGCGUGCUUAACACAUGCAAGUCGAGCGAUGAAGCACUUCGGGUGUGAAUUAGCGGCGAACGGGUGAGGAACACGUGAAGAAUCUGCCUUCAACUCUGGGAUAACUCCGGGAAACCGGGGCUAAUACCGGAUAUGAGCCUUGAUCGCAUGAUCGGGGCUGGAAAGUUUUUCGGUUGAAGAUGACUUCGCGGCCUAUCAGCUUGUUGGUGAGGUAAUGGCUCACCAAGGCGACGACGGGUAGCCGGCCUGAGAGGGCGACCGGCCACACGGGUACUGAGACACGGACCCGACUCCUACGGGAGGCAGCAGUAAGGAAUAUUGGACAAUGGUCGAAAGACUGAUCCAGCCAUCCCGCGUGCAGGAUGACUGCCCUAUGGGUUGUAAACUGCUUUUAUAUGGGAAGAAUAGCAUAGAUUCAUCUGUGUAUGACGGUACCAUAUGAAUAAGCACCGGCUAACUCCGUG
Molecule: ribosomal RNA, 485 nt
Filed under: uncultured bacterium
Lineage: Bacteria
Description: bacterial SSU rRNA
Rfam family: Bacterial small subunit ribosomal RNA
Source: RNAcentral